GCUGGGAUAGUUCAGUCGGUAGAGCACGAAACUCUUAAUCUCAGGGUUGUGGGUUUGAGCCCCGUGUUGGGCA
This is a non-coding RNA of Podarcis lilfordi (Lilford's wall lizard), 73 nucleotides long. NCBI's taxonomy places the organism in Eukaryota, Metazoa, Chordata, Lepidosauria, Squamata, Lacertidae. The record is from the annotation of a GenBank genome assembly.